This 357-nucleotide transfer RNA is filed under the name uncultured bacterium. RNAcentral describes it as "partial contains 16S-23S ribosomal RNA intergenic spacer and 23S ribosomal RNA". The stretch from base 77 to 149 matches the Rfam family "tRNA". The record is from RNAcentral.
GUGAAUAAGGGUGAAGGUCGGGUAGGUUCAACUCUACCCAGGCCCACUGCUGUAAAUUGCAAAGCGGGUUGGGUAGGGGAAUGUAGCUCAGUUGGAAGAGCGCCGCACUUGCACUGCGGAGGCCGUCGGUUCGAACCCGAUCAUCUCCAUCAAAAUUCGAAUUUCGAAACAUUGAAUUCCGAAUUUUUCCCUCGGUCAGACUUGCAGUUUGAUUGAGAUUUUGAGGUCUUUGACAACUGAAUAUUGAUGGGCAAACUCUACGAAUCGUAGAGCGAGCGCCAAAGGCAAGUAAUGAUCAAGCUACUAAGAGCAUACGGUGGAUGCCUUGGCGACGGAAGGCGAUGAAGGACGUGCUAA